GGCCAGGUAGCUCAGUUGGUAGAGCAGCGGACUGAAAAUCCGCGUGUCGGCGGUUCAACUCCGUCCCUGGGCACCA
RNAcentral lists this transfer RNA (76 nucleotides) under compost metagenome. RNAcentral's name for it is "tRNA-Phe". It matches the Rfam family "tRNA". From Rfam's summary of the family: Transfer RNA (tRNA) molecules are approximately 80 nucleotides in length. Their secondary structure includes four short double-helical elements and three loops (D, anti-codon, and T loops). Further hydrogen bonds mediate the characteristic L-shaped molecular structure. tRNAs have two regions of fundamental functional importance: the anti-codon, which is responsible for specific mRNA codon recognition, and the 3' end, to which the tRNAs corresponding amino acid is attached (by aminoacyl-tRNA synthetases). tRNAs cope with the degeneracy of the genetic code in two manners: having more than one tRNA (with a specific anti-codon) for a particular amino acid; and 'wobble' base-pairing, i.e. permitting non-standard base-pairing at the 3rd anti-codon position. The record is from RNAcentral.